RNAcentral lists this ribosomal RNA (303 nucleotides) under Triticum aestivum (bread wheat). Its description in RNAcentral is "partial small subunit ribosomal RNA". Lineage: Eukaryota; Viridiplantae; Streptophyta; Magnoliopsida; Poales; Poaceae. The record is from RNAcentral.
AUGAGAAGAUUCACACGAAGCAGAGGGAAGGUGGAGCAGGCCGGUAACCAGGGGAAAAAGCAGAGUGGGAGAAGAUUUACACCGCCGUCUCCACUGGAUAUGGUGUCUCCGCCACAUCUGUGGAGGCGCCGCGGCUCCGCCUCGGAUGGUGCUCGUGGCUAUGGUGAAGAGGAGGGGCGACGCAUGAGCGAAGAGGCAGACGGUGCUCGUGGCCAAAAAAGUGGGUCGUUCGAGCUGCGAGAGGGAGGAGGGAUCGCCGGGAGGUGGCAAGAUCGGUGGGCGGCGGCGGCGGCGUCCAGGUAG